ACAUCCGUAGCUUGCUUUGUAAGUCUUUUGUGAAAUCUUCUAUCUUAAGUAGAGGGCGUGCAAGAGAUACUGCAAAGCUAGAGACUGGGAGACGUAAGGAGUACAGAAGGUGUACCGGUAAAAUGGGUUGAUCCUUUCUGGACUAAUGUGGCUAAAAGCACCUUAUGAAACACGAUCUGCAGUAAGGGAUGAGGGAUAAGGUAGACACCCAAUUUAUACCCGGGUAGUCCCGCAUGUAAACACUGCGAACACGAUGAUUCAUUGUCUUAUGGACAGCUCAGAGUGGAAGGGAAUCCACGAAUAUUGCCGCCCGUGGGAUAUGGCGUCACUCACCUAAUGUAGGAAUUUGCGGGAAUGCAUAAUCAGCAC
This 369-nucleotide ribosomal RNA is filed under the name uncultured Nitrososphaerota archaeon. Its description in RNAcentral is "bacterial SSU rRNA". It matches the Rfam family "Archaeal small subunit ribosomal RNA", at positions 515 to 888 of the family's 1478-position model. Lineage: Archaea; Thermoproteati; Nitrososphaerota. The record is from RNAcentral.